This 529-nucleotide ribosomal RNA is filed under the name uncultured bacterium. RNAcentral's name for it is "bacterial SSU rRNA". It matches the Rfam family "Bacterial small subunit ribosomal RNA", at positions 980 to 1509 of the family's 1533-position model. The record is from RNAcentral.
CUUGACAUCCAGAGAAUUUAGCAGAGAUGCUUUAGUGCCUUCGGGAACUCUGAGACAGGUGCUGCAUGGCUGUCGUCAGCUCGUGUUGUGAAAUGUUGGGUUAAGUCCGCAACGAGCGCAACCCUUAUCCUUUGUUGCCAGCACGUAAUGGUGGGAACUCAAAGGAGACUGCCGGUGAUAAACCGGAGGAAGGUGGGGAUGACGUCAAGUCAUCAUGGCCCUUACGAGUAGGGCUACACACGUGCUACAAUGGCGCAUACAAAGAGAAGCGACCUCGCGAGAGCAAGCGGACCUCAUAAAGUGCGUCGUAGUCCGGAUUGGAGUCUGCAACUCGACUCCAUGAAGUCGGAAUCGCUAGUAAUCGUAAAUCAGAAUGUUACGGUGAAUACGUUCCCGGGCCUUGUACACACCGCCCGUCACACCAUGGGAGUGGGUUGCAAAAGAAGUAGAUAGUUUAACCUUCGGGAGGGCGUUUACCACUUUGUGAUUCAUGACUGGGGUGAAGUCGUAACAAGGUAAGCGUAGUGCU